Long non-coding RNA from Austrofundulus limnaeus, 205 nucleotides. RefSeq lists it as uncharacterized. Lineage: Eukaryota; Metazoa; Chordata; Actinopteri; Cyprinodontiformes; Rivulidae. The record is from RefSeq and is a predicted model, not a curated record. The transcript has 3 exons.
CUCAAAGGGUUUGGGUCUGAAGGCCACGCUGUCCAUCAAGUCUGACCUGCUGCUCAGUAACUCAACUAUUCUGGAUAUAUAAAGACAAACUAGCUCUGGAGGAAACACUGCCCCCAACCUGUCUGCUCUGCACGAAGACUGCUUAUAGUUUCAAAUUCAUCUGUGUGUCUGCAUUCAUAAAGACCCUUCAUACAUCUGUAAGAAG